GCAGUCUGCAACUCGAGUGCAUGAAGCUGGAAUCGCUAGUAAUCGCGGAUCAGAAUGCCGCGGUGAAUACGUUCCCGGGUCUUGUACACACCGCCCGUCACACCAUGGGAGUCGAUAACGCCCGAAGUCAGUGACCCAACCUUAUAGGAGGGAGCUGCCGAAGGCGGGAUUGAUAACUGGGGUGAAGUCGUAACAAGGUAGC
This 202-nucleotide ribosomal RNA is filed under the name uncultured bacterium. RNAcentral's name for it is "partial 16S ribosomal RNA". It matches the Rfam family "Bacterial small subunit ribosomal RNA", at positions 1300 to 1500 of the family's 1533-position model. The record is from RNAcentral.